RNAcentral lists this ribosomal RNA (1312 nucleotides) under Marinobacter sp. 10B. RNAcentral describes it as "bacterial SSU rRNA". It matches the Rfam family "Bacterial small subunit ribosomal RNA", at positions 81 to 1396 of the family's 1533-position model. Lineage: Bacteria; Pseudomonadati; Pseudomonadota; Gammaproteobacteria; Pseudomonadales; Marinobacteraceae. The record is from RNAcentral.
CACCCCGCUGACGAGCGGCGGACGGGUGAGUAAUGCUUAGGAAUCUGCCCAGUAGUGGGGGAUAGCCCGGGGAAACCCGGAUUAAUACCGCAUACGUCCUACGGGAGAAAGCAGGGGAUCUUCGGACCUUGCGCUACUGGAUGAGCCUAAGUCGGAUUAGCUAGUUGGUGGGGUAAAGGCCUACCAAGGCGACGAUCCGUAGCUGGUCUGAGAGGAUGAUCAGCCACAUCGGGACUGAGACACGGCCCGAACUCCUACGGGAGGCAGCAGUGGGGAAUAUUGGACAAUGGGGGCAACCCUGAUCCAGCCAUGCCGCGUGUGUGAAGAAGGCUUUCGGGUUGUAAAGCACUUUCAGCGAGGAGGAAGGCUCUGAAGUUAAUACCUUCAGGGAUUGACGUUACUCGCAGAAGAAGCACCGGCUAACUCCGUGCCAGCAGCCGCGGUAAUACGGAGGGUGCAAGCGUUAAUCGGAAUUACUGGGCGUAAAGCGCGCGUAGGUGGUUAGGUAAGCGAGAUGUGAAAGCCCCGGGCUUAACCUGGGAACGGCAUUUCGAACUGUCUGACUAGAGUGUGGUAGAGGGUAGUGGAAUUUCCUGUGUAGCGGUGAAAUGCGUAGAUAUAGGAAGGAACACCAGUGGCGAAGGCGGCUACCUGGACCAACACUGACACUGAGGUGCGAAAGCGUGGGGAGCAAACAGGAUUAGAUACCCUGGUAGUCCACGCCGUAAACGAUGUCAACUAGCCGUUGGGACUCUUGAAGUCUUAGUGGCGCAGCUAACGCACUAAGUUGACCGCCUGGGGAGUACGGCCGCAAGGUUAAAACUCAAAUGAAUUGACGGGGGCCCGCACAAGCGGUGGAGCAUGUGGUUUAAUUCGACGCAACGCGAAGAACCUUACCUGGCCUUGACAUCCAGAGAACUUUCCAGAGAUGGAUUGGUGCCUUCGGGAACUCUGAGACAGGUGCUGCAUGGCCGUCGUCAGCUCGUGUCGUGAGAUGUUGGGUUAAGUCCCGUAACGAGCGCAACCCCUAUCCCUGGUUGCUAGCAGGUAAUGCUGAAAACUCCAGGGAAACUGCCGGUGACAAACCGGAGGAAGGUGGGGAUGACGUCAGGUCAUCAUGGCCCUUACGGCCAGGGCUACACACGUGCUACAAUGGCCCGUACAGAGGGCUGCCACUCCGGAGAGUGCCCAAUCCCUUAAAACCCGUCGUAGUCCGGAUCGGAAUCUGCACUCGACUCCGGGAAUCGGAAUCCUUAGAAUCCCGAAUCAAAAUGGCCCGGGAAUACUUUCCCGGGCUUUUUAAACCCGCCCG